This 373-nucleotide ribosomal RNA is filed under the name uncultured eukaryote. RNAcentral describes it as "partial 18S ribosomal RNA". It matches the Rfam family "Eukaryotic small subunit ribosomal RNA", at positions 592 to 976 of the family's 1831-position model. The record is from RNAcentral.
CAAUAGCGUAUAUUAAAGUUGUUGCAGUUAAAAAGCUCGUAGUUGGAUUUCUGCCAGGGUGCCAAUGUCCGCCGAAGUGCGUGCGCAGCGGCGCCCUCGCAUCCUUCUGUUAACGCCUCUCGGCAUUUACUUGCCGGUGGUGGGCUCAGAUAAUUUACCUUGAGAAAAUUAGAGUGUUUCAGGCAGGCUAGGCCGGAAUACAUUAGCAUGGAAUAAUGGAAUAGGACUACGGUCUCGUUGUUGGUUUGAGGGACUGGAGUAAUGAUUAAUAGGGAUAGUUGGGGGCAUUAGUAUUUAAUUGUCAGAGGUGAAAUUCUCAGAUUUGUUAAAGACUAACUUAUGCGAAAGCAUUUGCCAAGGAUGUUUUCAUUGA